Molecule: ribosomal RNA, 441 nt
Filed under: uncultured bacterium
Lineage: Bacteria
Description: bacterial SSU rRNA
Rfam family: Bacterial small subunit ribosomal RNA
Source: RNAcentral
AACGCGAAGAACCUUACCAGGUCUUGACAUCCCGCUGACCGGCAUGGAGACAUGUCUUUCCCUUCGGGGACAGCGGUGACAGGUGGUGCAUGGUUGUCGUCAGCUCGUGUCGUGAGAUGUUGGGUUAAGUCCCGCAACGAGCGCAACCCUUGAUCUUAGUUGCCAGCAUUCAGUUGGGCACUCUAAGGUGACUGCCGGUGACAAACCGGAGGAAGGUGGGGAUGACGUCAAAUCAUCAUGCCCCUUAUGACCUGGGCUACACACGUGCUACAAUGGACGGUACAAAGGGCUGCAAACCCGCGAGGGGGAGCCAAUCCCAUAAAACCGUUCCCAGUUCGGAUUGCAGGCUGCAACUCGCCUGCAUGAAGCCGGAAUCGCUAGUAAUCGUGGAUCAGCAUGCCACGGUGAAUACGUUCCCGGGCCUUGUACACACCGUGUCGA